AGGGUUUGAUUCUGGCUCAGAAUCAACGCUGGCGGCGUGCCUAACACAUGCAAGUCGAACGAGAAAGUGGAGCAAUCCAUGAGUAAAGUGGCGACCGGGUGAGUAACACGUGACCAAUCUACCCUCGAGUGGGGGAUAACUCCGGGAAACCGGAGCUAAUACCGCAUAACAUCUUUGGAACUCAGGUUCCGAUGAUCAAAGGAGCAAUCCGCUUGAGGAGGAGGUCGCGGCUGAUUAGCUAGUUGGCGGGGUAAUGGCCCACCAAGGCGAAGAUCGGUAGCCGGCCUGAGAGGGCGCACGGCCACACUGGAACUGAAACACGGUCCAGACUCCUACGGGAGGCAGCAGUGGGGAAUUUUGCGCAAUGGGGGAAACCCUGACGCAGCAACGCCGCGUGGAGGAUGAAGUCCCUUGGGACGUAAACUCCUUUCGACCGGGAAGAUUAUGACGGUACCGGUGGAAGAAGCACCGGCUAACUCUGUGCCAGCAGCCGCGGUAAUACAGAGGGUGCGAGCGUUGUUCGGAAUUAUUGGGCGU
RNAcentral lists this ribosomal RNA (537 nucleotides) under uncultured bacterium. RNAcentral's name for it is "bacterial SSU rRNA". It matches the Rfam family "Bacterial small subunit ribosomal RNA", at positions 8 to 561 of the family's 1533-position model. The record is from RNAcentral.